CCUGGUGGUUCGAGCGUGGUGGGACCACCCGUUCCCAUCCCGAACACGGAAGUGAAACGCCACAGCGCCGACGAUACUGCACUCUAGCGGGUGUGGGACAAUGGGUCACUGCCAGGG
RNAcentral lists this ribosomal RNA (117 nucleotides) under Gemmatimonadota bacterium. Lineage: Bacteria; Pseudomonadati; Gemmatimonadota. The record is from RNAcentral.